RNAcentral lists this ribosomal RNA (491 nucleotides) under Shewanella sp. EBKC110. RNAcentral's name for it is "bacterial SSU rRNA". It matches the Rfam family "Bacterial small subunit ribosomal RNA", at positions 394 to 877 of the family's 1533-position model. The record is from RNAcentral. Lineage: Bacteria; Pseudomonadati; Pseudomonadota; Gammaproteobacteria; Alteromonadales; Shewanellaceae.
AUGCCGCGUGUGUGAAGAAGGCCUUCGGGUUGUAAAGCACUUUCAGUUGUGAGGAAAGGGUGUUGCUUAAUACGUAACAUCUGUGACGUUAGCAACAGAAGAAGGACCGGCUAACUCCGUGCCAGCAGCCGCGGUAAUACGGAGGGUCCGAGCGUUAAUCGGAAUUACUGGGCGUAAAGCGUGCGCAGGCGGUUUGUUAAGCCAGAUGUGAAAGCCCCGGGCUCAACCUGGGAAUUGCAUUUGGAACUGGCGAACUAGAGUCUUGUAGAGGGAGGUAGAAUUUCAGGUGUAGCGGUGAAAUGCGUAGAUAUCUGAAGGAAUACCGGUGGCGAAGGCGGCCUCCUGGACAAAGACUGACGCUCAUGCACGAAAGCGUGGGGAGCAAACAGGAUUAGAUACCCUGGUAGUCCACGCCGUAAACGAUGUCUACUCGGAGUUUGGUGUCUUGAACACUGGGCUCUCAAGCUAACGCAUUAAGUAGACCGCCUGGG